This 92-nucleotide transfer RNA is filed under the name Planctomycetota bacterium. Its description in RNAcentral is "Planctomycetes bacterium (sediment metagenome) tRNA-Ser". It matches the Rfam family "tRNA". Rfam says of the family: Transfer RNA (tRNA) molecules are approximately 80 nucleotides in length. Lineage: Bacteria; Pseudomonadati; Planctomycetota. The record is from RNAcentral.
GGCGGGUUGGCCGAGCGGUCUAAGGCGACGGUUUUGAAAACCGUUGAUGGCAGAAAUGUCAUCCGGGGGUUCGAAUCCCUCACCCGCCGCCA